CCUUCGGGGUGCUGACGAGUGGCGGACGGGUGAGUAAUGCUUAGGAAUCUGCCUAGUAGUGGGGGAUAACCCGGGGAAACCCGGGCUAAUACCGCAUACGCCCUACGGGGGAAAGCGGGGGACUUUCGGGCCUCGCGCUAUUAGAUGAGCCUAAGUCCGAUUAGCUAGUUGGUAGGGUAAUGGCCUACCAAGGCGACGAUCGGUAGCUGGUCUGAGAGGACGACCAGCCACACUGGGACUGAGACACGGCCCAGACUCCUACGGGAGGCAGCAGUGGGGAAUAUUGGACAAUGGGCGCAAGCCUGAUCCAGCGAUGCCGCGUGUGUGAAGAAGGCCUGCGGGUUGUAAAGCACUUUCAGUAGGGAAGAAAAGCCGAGUGCUAAUAUCACUCGGUCUUGACGUUACUUACAGAAGAAGCACCGGCUAACUCCGUGCCAGCAGCCGCGGUAAUACGGAGGGUGCGAGCGUUAAUCGGAAUUACUGGGCGUAAAGGGCGCGUAGGCGGUUUGGUAAGUCGGGUGUGAAAGCCCCGGGCUCAACCUGGGAAUUGCAUUCGAUACUGCCUGGCUAGAGUAUGGUAGAGGGAAGCGGAAUUCCGGGUGUAGCGGUGAAAUGCGUAGAUAUCCGGAGGAACACCAGUGGCGAAGGCGGCUUCCUGGACCAAUACUGACGCUGAGGCGCGAAAGCGUGGGGAUCAAACAGGAUUAGA
Molecule: ribosomal RNA, 709 nt
Filed under: uncultured Gammaproteobacteria bacterium
Lineage: Bacteria; Pseudomonadati; Pseudomonadota; Gammaproteobacteria
Description: bacterial SSU rRNA
Rfam family: Bacterial small subunit ribosomal RNA
Source: RNAcentral